GUUAACCCAUGAAAAAAAACAGAAGAAAAAUGAAAAAAAAAUUCAUUCGAAAUACAGUACAACAGCUUACCAUUGUGAAAGUGAUAAAAAAACCUUUUCCGGUUUUUCUGCCCAAAUGUCCUUUGGCAACCAUUUCUUCGAUUAUCGGUGAUUUAUGUAUGGUUAGUGUUGGAUCACCACGUUUUUCCCAUGCAUCCAUUAUGAAUUUUGUCGUAUCCAAUCCGGUUAAAUCUAAUUCGAAUCAUUAAAAAAAGUUCAAAUGGUCCCAUUGGAUAACCGGCUCCCAAUUUCAUUGCCGUAUCAAUAUCUUCGAUAGUAGCAUCACCACGUUCAACCAUUUUG
Non-coding RNA from Dermatophagoides farinae (American house dust mite), 342 nucleotides. NCBI's taxonomy places the organism in Eukaryota, Metazoa, Arthropoda, Arachnida, Sarcoptiformes, Pyroglyphidae. The record is from RefSeq and is a predicted model, not a curated record.